Molecule: ribosomal RNA, 429 nt
Filed under: uncultured bacterium
Lineage: Bacteria
Description: bacterial SSU rRNA
Rfam family: Bacterial small subunit ribosomal RNA
Source: RNAcentral
UGGGGAAUAUUGGACAAUGGGCGCAAGCCUGAUCCAGCAAUGCCGCGUGUGUGAAGAAGGCCUGCGGGUUGUAAAGCACUUUAAGCAGGAAAGAAGGGGUGGGAGUUAAUACCUUUCAUCAUUGACGUUACCUGCAGAAUAAGCACCGGCUAACUCCGUGCCAGCAGCCGCGGUAAUACGGAGGGUGCAAGCGUUAAUCGGAAUUACUGGGCGUAAAGCGCGCGUAGGCGGUUUGCUAAGUCUGUCGUGAAAGCCCUGGGCUUAACCUGGGAACUGCGGUGGAUACUGUCAAGCUAGAGUGUGGUAGAGGGCAGUGGAAUUUCCGGUGUAGCAGUGAAAUGCGUAGAGAUCGGAAGGAACACCAGUGGCGAAGGCGGCUGCCUGGACCAACACUGACGCUGAGGUGCGAAAGCGUGGGGAGCAAACAGG